CCUACGGGUGGCAGCAGUGAGGAAUAUUGGUCAAUGGGCGUAAGCCUGAACCAGCCAAGUCGCGUGAGGGAUGAAGGUUCUAUGGAUCGUCAACUUCUUUUAUAAGGGAAUAAAGUGUGGGACGUGUCCUGCUUUGUCUGUACCUUAUGAAUACGGAUCGGCUAACUCCGUGCCAGCAGCCGCGGUAAUACGGAGGAUCCGAGCGUUAUCCGGAUUUAUUGGGUUUAAAGGGUGCGUAGGCGGCCUUUUAAGUCAGCGGUGAAAGUCUGUGGCUCAACCAUAGAAUUGCCGUUGAAACUGGGUGGCUUGAGUAUAUGUGAGGCAGGCGGAAUGCGUGGUGUAGCGGUGAAAUGCGUAGAUAUCACGAAGAACACCAGUUGCGAAGGCAGCCUGCCAAGCCAUAACUGACGCUGAUGCACGAAAGCGUGGGGAUCAAACAGGAUUAGAUACCCGAGUAGUC
Molecule: ribosomal RNA, 460 nt
Filed under: uncultured bacterium
Lineage: Bacteria
Description: partial 16S ribosomal RNA
Rfam family: Bacterial small subunit ribosomal RNA
Source: RNAcentral